This 267-nucleotide long non-coding RNA is filed under the name Lonchura striata (white-rumped munia). RNAcentral describes it as "domestica (Bengalese finch) lncRNA (ENSLSDG00000002281.1)". The record is from RNAcentral. Lineage: Eukaryota; Metazoa; Chordata; Aves; Passeriformes; Estrildidae.
CGCUCCGCGCCGCCGCCCGCCCGCGCCGCGGCCGCGCCGUGCUGGGCAGCGGCAGGGCCGAGUCCUGCGGUCUCCUGAGAACAUUUUUUCUGAGUGACUCCUGCUUCCAGACACAUUUGCCAUGAGAAGGGUUCCAAUCCUUUCCUGUAUUUGCCCUGAGUCAUGAAUGGAUAUGUGUGAUGCCUGCAAGUAAAACUGGUGAGUUGUCAAGCCUGAGUUUGCAAUAACUCUCACUUAUCCUUUCUUACUAAUUAUCUUCCCCUCAUU